GAUGAACGCUGGCGGCGUGCCUAAUACAUGCAAGUCGAACGAAACUUCUUUAUCACCGAGUGCUUGCACUCACCGAUAAAGAGUUGAGUGGCGAACGGGUGAGUAACACGUGGGCAACCUGCCCAAAAGAGGGGGAUAACACUUGGAAACAGGUGCUAAUACCGCAUAACCAUAGUUACCGCAUGGUAACUAUGUAAAAGGUGGCUAUACUACCGCUUUUGGAUGGGCCCGCGGCGCAUUAGCUAGUUGGUAGGGUAAAGGCUUACCAAGGCAAUGAUGCGUAGCCGAGUGGAGAGGUUGUUCGGCCACAUUGGGACUGACACCCGCCCAAAACCCCGAGGGGAGGCAGCAGUGGGGACUCCCCCAAAAGGGCGAAAGGCCUAAGGGCGCAACGCGGCGGGGGGGAAGAGGGUCUGCGGAUCUAAAACCCUUGUUUUUAGAGAAAAAAGUGGGUGGGAGUAACUUUUCACUUUCGGAGGGUUUCUAACAAGAAACCCACGCCAAACUCGGUC
Molecule: ribosomal RNA, 512 nt
Filed under: uncultured bacterium
Lineage: Bacteria
Description: partial 16S ribosomal RNA
Rfam family: Bacterial small subunit ribosomal RNA
Source: RNAcentral